RNAcentral lists this ribosomal RNA (579 nucleotides) under uncultured bacterium. RNAcentral's name for it is "bacterial SSU rRNA". It matches the Rfam family "Bacterial small subunit ribosomal RNA", at positions 112 to 704 of the family's 1533-position model. The record is from RNAcentral.
AAUACUUAGGUAACGUACCCUCUCGCUGGGGAUAACCAAGGGAAACUUUGGCUAAUACCGAAUAAUUCGUCCGGGGCUUCGGCCCUGGCCGAUAAAGCCGCAAGGCGCGAGUGGAGCGGCCUGAGUCCCAUUAGCUAGUUGGAGAGGUAACGGCUCACCAAGGCUUCGAUGGGUAGCUGGUCUGAGAGGAUGAUCAGCCACACUGGUACUGGAACACGGACCAGACUCCUACGGGAGGCAGCAGUUAGGAAUCUUGCGCAAUGGGGGAAACCCUGACGCAGCAACGCCGCGUGAGUGAUGAAGGCCUUCGGGUUGUAAAGCUCUUUUAGUCGGGACGAAAAAAAUGACGGUACCGACAGAAAAAGCACCGGCUAACCCUGUGCCAGCAGCCGCGGUAAUACAGGGGGUGCAAGCGUUACUCGGAAUUACUGGGCGUAAAGAGCGUGUAGGCGGUUCAGUAAGUCUCGUGUGAAAGCCCUGGGCUUAAUCCAGGAAGUGCACGAGAUACUGCUAGACUAGAGUACAGGAGAGGAGAGCGGAAUUCCUGGUGUAGAGGUGAAAUUCGUAGAUAUCAGGAGG